This 164-nucleotide ribosomal RNA is filed under the name uncultured bacterium. RNAcentral's name for it is "partial 16S ribosomal RNA". The record is from RNAcentral.
GCUGUACAUGGCGCAGCUGAUCAGCCUGCCGCGUGAGUGAGAAGGCCUUCGGGUUGUAAAGCUCUUUUGUCCGGGAAGAAAAGGUCGGGGCUAAUACCCUGCGCCCCUGACGGUUCCUGGCCAAUAAGCACCGGCUAACUCCGUGCCCCCCGCCGCAAUAAUAA